CCGGGAUGUAAUUGCAGAGCAAAAUGACAGCUGGUUUGUUUUUAUCAACAAGGAACAUUCAAAGUAGACCUCAAAGUGUCAUGUGGUGAACAGCCUCCAAGUCCUCCCUGUUCUGGUCUGUCCAGAGCAACUGACCAAAGAGGGACCAACAUUGCUUCUAAGGACAUCUGCCAGCCCUACCAGCCACUCUGGAGCCAUUAG
Molecule: long non-coding RNA, 201 nt
Filed under: Sander lucioperca (pikeperch)
Lineage: Eukaryota; Metazoa; Chordata; Actinopteri; Perciformes; Percidae
Description: lncRNA (ENSSLUG00000002846.1)
Source: RNAcentral